Long non-coding RNA from Hordeum vulgare subsp. vulgare (domesticated barley), 998 nucleotides. RefSeq lists it as uncharacterized. The transcript has 5 exons. Lineage: Eukaryota; Viridiplantae; Streptophyta; Magnoliopsida; Poales; Poaceae. The record is from RefSeq and is a predicted model, not a curated record.
CCGUUGACUGCUGGUGCUUCCCAUCGCUCGGGAGUUAUUGUUCAUUUUCCUCUCCUCACCCUCUCCACUCAUCCAUAAUCGGUGCUGUCGUUAGUUGAUUUUUUUACUUUUGUUCAUAAGAAGAUCAGCCAUGACUUGUUGUAGUACUUCUAUCCAGCAAGAAGUGCCUCGGUUGGAGCUCGCGCUCGAGCAGUACGUCAAGAACAGAGGCUCUAUCUGCUAAUGGGAUGGACAGAAAUGCAGUCUAAUAGUUGGCUACUACUCGUGUGACUCUUGGAGAUGAGAGGAUGAGGAUGAUAACUACAGGUGAGAGUUGAGGCUGGAGCUUUGUUACUCUUUCCGUCCAACAGCAAGGAAUUGUUAGACUUGCGCCCGUGCAGACGUGCUCAUGUGCCUCCAUGUGCGUCUCCCUAAUCAGAUCCAGGCGCCGCCCCCCUAUGCAGCAGGGGCCAGACUAUGUGCUACUCUAUGCAUAGUCUGAUCUCUAAUCAAAUGAGCUCCCUCCACUAUUUGCAGAACAUUUCUUUCAUCCUGUGAUAUAAAUCACGUGAACAAAGUCAUCAAAUGGUUGAAUCAUCCAACUAUUUCUGAAAACUUUGGGUCGCGGCUUCUGUUCAACUUUGGUUAUUCCUAGUUUGACACUUCGGUUGCUGUAAAAUUGUGUAGGAAAGACAAAGAGGACCAAGAAGGGAACCAUGAUGUUUUUAUUUUGUGUCAACUAGAUAUCUUCGUAAUGGAGCAAAAACAAUCCAUCUCGUAGCUAUCAUUUUGUAAAGGAUGUCUUGUGUAACGGAGCUAUCAUUCUGUAACGGUCAAAUGUUUUCUUUUAUGUACUUACCUUUAUUAUGGGCAUUAUUAGUGUUAUUUUUGUUUGGUUUUGGUUUAAUAUUUUUAGAGUACAUACAAGUUAUUGUAACUUGAUAGAUAUUGAUGAGAAAUGUAACCUGAUUGAUAUUGUUUUGACAAGGUAAUAUGCCAAAUACCAUUGGCCAAAUGCA